GCCUGGGUGGCUCAGUCAGUUAAGCGUCUGACUUCAGCUCAGGUCAUGAUCUCACUCUUUGUGGGUUCAAGCCCCAUGUUGGGCU
RNAcentral lists this transfer RNA (85 nucleotides) under Felis catus (domestic cat). It matches the Rfam family "tRNA". Rfam says of the family: Transfer RNA (tRNA) molecules are approximately 80 nucleotides in length. Their secondary structure includes four short double-helical elements and three loops (D, anti-codon, and T loops). Further hydrogen bonds mediate the characteristic L-shaped molecular structure. tRNAs have two regions of fundamental functional importance: the anti-codon, which is responsible for specific mRNA codon recognition, and the 3' end, to which the tRNAs corresponding amino acid is attached (by aminoacyl-tRNA synthetases). tRNAs cope with the degeneracy of the genetic code in two manners: having more than one tRNA (with a specific anti-codon) for a particular amino acid; and 'wobble' base-pairing, i.e. permitting non-standard base-pairing at the 3rd anti-codon position. Lineage: Eukaryota; Metazoa; Chordata; Mammalia; Carnivora; Felidae. The record is from Rfam by way of RNAcentral.